RNAcentral lists this ribosomal RNA (241 nucleotides) under uncultured Actinomycetales bacterium. RNAcentral's name for it is "partial 16S ribosomal RNA". It matches the Rfam family "Bacterial small subunit ribosomal RNA", at positions 89 to 334 of the family's 1533-position model. The record is from RNAcentral. Lineage: Bacteria; Bacillati; Actinomycetota; Actinomycetes; Actinomycetales.
ACUCGAGUGUCGAACGGGUGAGUAACACGUGGGUGAUCUGCCCUGCACUUCGGGAUAAGCCUGGGAAACUGGGUCUAAUACCGGAUAGGAGCCAUUUUUAGUGUGAUGGUUGGAAAGUUUUUCGGUGUAGGAUGAGCUCGCGGCCUAUCAGCUUGUUGGUGGGGUAAUGGCCUACCAAGGCGGCGACGGGUAGCCGGCCUGAGAGGGUGGACGGCCACAUUGGGACUGAGAUACGGCCCAG